UACAUGGGGUGCAAACGUUGCUCGGAAUUAUUGGGCGUAAAGCGCACGUAGGUGGUCUGUUAUGUCAGAUGUGAAAGCCCUCGGCUUAACUGAGGAAGUGCACCUGAAACUGGCAGGCUUGAGUACGAAAGAGGGUCGCGGAAUUCCCGGUGUAGAGGUGAAAUUCGUAGAUAUCGGGAGGAACACCUGUGGCGAAGGCGGCCCCCUGGUCGGAUACUGACGCUGAGACGCGAAAGCGUGGGGAGCAAACAGG
RNAcentral lists this ribosomal RNA (253 nucleotides) under uncultured prokaryote. Its description in RNAcentral is "partial 16S ribosomal RNA". It matches the Rfam family "Bacterial small subunit ribosomal RNA", at positions 524 to 776 of the family's 1533-position model. The record is from RNAcentral.